Molecule: ribosomal RNA, 497 nt
Filed under: uncultured bacterium
Lineage: Bacteria
Description: partial 16S ribosomal RNA
Rfam family: Bacterial small subunit ribosomal RNA
Source: RNAcentral
GAUGAACGCUGGCGGCGUGCCUAAUACAUGCAAGUCGAGCGAACGGACGAGAAGCUUGCUUCUCUGAUGUUAGCGGCGGACGGGUGAGUAACACGUGGAUAACCUACCUAUAAGACUGGGAUAACUUCGGGAAACCGUAGCUAAUACCGGAUAAUAUUUUGAACCGCAUGGUUCAAAAGUGAAAGACGGUCUUGCUGUCACUUAUAGAUGGAUCCGCGCUGCAUUAGCUAGUUGGUAAGGUAACGGCUUACCAAGGCAACGAUGCAUAGCCGACCUGAGAGGGUGACAGCCCACACUGGAACUGAGACACGGUCCAGACUCCUACGGGAGGCAGCAGUAGCGAAUCUUCCGCAAUGGGCGAAAGCCUGACGGAGCAACGCCGGGUGAGUGAUGAAGGUCUUCGGAUCGUAAAACUCUGUUAUUAGGGAAGAACAUAUGUGUAAGUAACUGUGCACAUCUUGACGGUACCUAAUCAGAAAGCCACGGCUAACUACGUG